GCUUCUUUAGCUCAGUUGGUUAGAGCAUCUGACUGUUAAUCAGAGGGUCCCAGGUUCGAGCCCUGGAAGGAGCG
RNAcentral lists this transfer RNA (74 nucleotides) under Flavobacteriales bacterium. Its description in RNAcentral is "tRNA-Asn". It matches the Rfam family "tRNA". Rfam says of the family: Transfer RNA (tRNA) molecules are approximately 80 nucleotides in length. Their secondary structure includes four short double-helical elements and three loops (D, anti-codon, and T loops). Further hydrogen bonds mediate the characteristic L-shaped molecular structure. tRNAs have two regions of fundamental functional importance: the anti-codon, which is responsible for specific mRNA codon recognition, and the 3' end, to which the tRNAs corresponding amino acid is attached (by aminoacyl-tRNA synthetases). tRNAs cope with the degeneracy of the genetic code in two manners: having more than one tRNA (with a specific anti-codon) for a particular amino acid; and 'wobble' base-pairing, i.e. permitting non-standard base-pairing at the 3rd anti-codon position. The record is from RNAcentral. Lineage: Bacteria; Pseudomonadati; Bacteroidota; Flavobacteriia; Flavobacteriales. RNAcentral also lists the same sequence under 1 other name.